CUACGGGUUGCAGCAGUGAGGAAUAUUGGUCAAUGGGCGCGAGCCUGAACCAGCCAUCCCGCGUGCAGGAUGACGGCCCUAUGGGUUGUAAACUGCUUUUCUACGCCAAGAAACCUGAUUACGUGUAAUCAGUUGCCGGUAGCAUAGGAAUAAGCAUCGGCUAACUCCGUGCCAGCAGCCGCGGUAAUACGGAGGAUGCAAGCGUUAUCCGGAUUCAUUGGGUUUAAAGGGUGCGCAGGUGGGCUUGUAAGUCAGUGGUGAAAUGCUGCCGCUUAACGGUAGAACUGCCAUUGAUACUGCGAGUCUUGAGUAUGGUUGAGGUAGGCGGAAUGUGUUGUGUAGCGGUGAAAUGCAUAGAUAUGACACAGAACGCCAAUUGCGAAGGCAGCUUACUAAGCCAUUACUGACGCUGAGGCACGAAAGCGUGGGGAGCGAACAGGAUUAGAUACCCGUGUAGUC
This 459-nucleotide ribosomal RNA is filed under the name uncultured bacterium. RNAcentral's name for it is "partial 16S ribosomal RNA". It matches the Rfam family "Bacterial small subunit ribosomal RNA", at positions 339 to 795 of the family's 1533-position model. The record is from RNAcentral.